This 466-nucleotide ribosomal RNA is filed under the name uncultured bacterium. RNAcentral's name for it is "partial 16S ribosomal RNA". It matches the Rfam family "Bacterial small subunit ribosomal RNA", at positions 28 to 507 of the family's 1533-position model. The record is from RNAcentral.
GACGAACGCUGGCGGCGUGCUUAACACAUGCAAGUCGAACGGAAAGGCCCUGCUUGCCGGGUACUCGAGUGGCGAACGGGUGAGUAACACGUGGGUGAUCUGCCCUGCACUUCGGGAUAAGCCUGGGAAACUGGGUCUAAUACCGGAUAGGAGCCAUUUUUAGUGUGAUGGUUGGAAAGUUUUUUUCGGUGUAGGAUGAGCUCGCGGCCUAUCAGCUUGUUGGUGGGGUAAUGGCCUACCAAGGCGGCGACGGGUAGCCGGCCUGAGAGGGUGGACGGCCACAUUGGGACUGAGAUACGGCCCAGACUCCUACGGGAGGCAGCAGUGGGGAAUAUUGCACAAUGGGCGCAAGCCUGAUGCAGCGACGCCGCGGGGGGGAUGACGGCCUUCGGGUUGUAAACUCCUUUCGCUAGGGACGAAGCUUUUUGUGACGGUACCUAGAUAAGAAGCACCGGCUAACUACGUG